AGGACGAACGCUGGCGGCGUGCCUAACACAUGCAAGUGGAGCGACGAACCAGGCUUCGGCCUGGGGCAAAGCCGCGAACGGGUGAGUAACACGUGGGUAACCUGCCCCGAUGAUUGGGACAACCCGAGGAAACUCGGGCUAAUACCGAAUGUGCCCUCCGACCAUAAGGUCGCUGGGGAAAGGAAGCUUCGGCCUCCGCAUCGGGAUGGGCCCGCGGCCCAUUAGCUUGUUGGUGAGGUAACGGCUCACCAAGGCAACGAUGGGUAGCUGGUCUGAGAGGACGAUCAGCCACACUGGGACUGAGACACGGCCCAGACUCCUACGGGAGGCAGCAGUGGGGAAUCUUGCGCAAUGGGCGAAAGCCUGACGCAGCGACGCCGCGUGGGGGAAGAAGGCUUUCGGGUUGUAAACCCCUUUCAGGAAGGACGAAGCCACUCGGGUGAAUAGCCCAGAGGGUGACGGUACUUCCAGAAGAAGCCCGGCUAACUACGCGCCAGCAGCCGCGGU
This 507-nucleotide ribosomal RNA is filed under the name uncultured bacterium. RNAcentral's name for it is "SSU rRNA". It matches the Rfam family "Bacterial small subunit ribosomal RNA", at positions 26 to 521 of the family's 1533-position model. The record is from RNAcentral.